GCCCGAGAGGUUUGUUCUGGCUCAGGACGAACGCUGGCGGGCGUGCCUAAUACAUGCAAGUCGAGCGGAGUUUAUCGGGAGCUUGCUCCUGAUAAACUUAGCGGCGGACGGGUGAGUAACACGUAGGCAACCUGCCCGUAAGACUGGGAUAACUACCGGAAACGGUAGCUAAUACCGGAUACGCAAGUCUCUCGCAUGAGGGACUUGGGAAAGGCGGAGCAAUCUGUCACUUACGGAUGGGCCUGCGGCGCAUUAGCUAGUUGGUGGGGUAACGGCUCACCAAGGCGACGAUGCGUAGCCGACCUGAGAGGGUGAACGGCCACACUGGGACUGAGACACGGCCCAGACUCCUACGGGAGGCAGCAGUAGGGAAUCUUCCGCAAUGGACGAAAGUCUGACGGAGCAACGCCGCGUGAGUGAUGAAGGUUUUCGGAUCGUAAAGCUCUGUUGCCAGGGAACAACCCCCCGUUAGAGUAACUGCUAACGGAGUGACGGUACCUGAGAAGAAAGCCCCGGCUAACUACGUGCCAGCAGCCGCGGUAAUACGUAGGGGGCGAGCGUUGUCCGGAAUUAUUGGGCGUAAAGCGCGCGCAGGCGGCUGUUUAAGUCUGGUGUUUAAUCCUGGGGCUCAACCCCGGGUCGCACUGGAAACUGGGCAGCUUGAGUGCAGAAGAGGAGAGUGGAAUUCCACGUGUAGCGGUGAAAUGCGUAGAGAUGUGGAGGAACACCAGUGGCGAAGGCGACUCUCUGGGCUGUAACUGACGCUGAGGCGCGAAAGCGUGGGGAGUACGGCCCGCAAAGGCUGAAACUCAAAGGGAAUUGACGGGGACCCGCACAAGCAGUGGAGUAUGUGGUUUAAUUCGAAGCAACGCGAAGAACCUUACCAGGUCUUGACAUCCCCCUGACCGGUACAGAGAUGUACCUUUCCUUCGGGACAGGGGAGACAGGUGGUGCAUGGUUGUCGUCAGCUCGUGUCGUGAGAUGUUGGGUUAAGUCCCGCAACGAGCGCAACCCUUGACUUUAGUUGCCAGCAGGUAAGGUUGGGCACUCUAGAGUGACUGCCGGUGACAAACCGGAGGAAGGUGGGGAUGACGUCAAAUCAUCAUGCCCCUUAUGACCUGGGCUACACACGUACUACAAUGGCCGGUACAACGGGAAGCGAAGGAGCGAUCUGGAGCGAAUCCUUUAAAGCCGGUCUCAGUUCGGAUUGCAGGCUGCAACUCGCCUGCAUGAAGUCGGAAUUGCUAGUAAUCGCGGAUCAGCAUGCCGCGGUGAAUACGUUCCCGGGUCUUGUACACACCGCCCGUCACACCACGAGAGUUUACAACACCCGAAGUCGGUGAGGUAACCGCAAGGAGCCAGCCGCCGAAAGAUUGGGUCCGGUG
This 1385-nucleotide ribosomal RNA is filed under the name Paenibacillus barengoltzii. Its description in RNAcentral is "partial 16S ribosomal RNA". It matches the Rfam family "Bacterial small subunit ribosomal RNA". Lineage: Bacteria; Bacillati; Bacillota; Bacilli; Caryophanales; Paenibacillaceae. The record is from RNAcentral.